Long non-coding RNA from Acanthochromis polyacanthus (spiny chromis), 366 nucleotides. RefSeq lists it as uncharacterized. The record is from RefSeq and is a predicted model, not a curated record. NCBI's taxonomy places the organism in Eukaryota, Metazoa, Chordata, Actinopteri, Pomacentridae. The transcript is spliced from 3 exons.
UAGUUUGUCGUUUGUGUCUAGUUUUUGUCGUUUUGUGUCUAGUUUGUCGUUUUGUGUCUAGUUUGUCGUUUGUGUCUAGUUUUUGUCGUUUUGUGUCUAGUUUGUCGUUUUGUGUCUAUUUUGUCGUUUGUGUCUAGUUUUUGUCGUUUUGUGUCUCGUUUGUCAUUUUGUGUCUAGUUUGUCGUUUGUGUCUAGUUUUUGUCGUUUUGUGUCUCGUUUUUGUCUUUUGUGUCUAGUUUUUGUCGUUUUGUGUCUAGUUUGUCAUUUUGUGUCUAGUUUGUCUUUUGUGUCUAGUUUUUGUCGUUUUGUGUCUAGUUUUUGUCGUUUUGUGUCUAGUUUUUGUGGUUUGUGUCUAGUUUGUCGUUU